AGUGAACGCUGGCGGUAGGCCUAACACAUGCAAGUCGAACGGCAGCACAGUAAGAGCUUGCUCUUACGGGUGGCGAGUGGCGGACGGGUGAGGAAUACAUCGGAAUCUACUUUUUCGUGGGGGAUAACGUAGGGAAACUUACGCUAAUACCGCAUACGACCUACGGGUGAAAGCAGGGGAUCUUCGGACCUUGCGCGAUUGAAUGAGCCGAUGUCGGAUUAGCUAGUUGGCGGGGUAAAGGCCCACCAAGGCGACGAUCCGUAGCUGGUCUGAGAGGAUGAUCAGCCCCACUGGAACUGAGACACGGUCCAGACUCCUACGAGAGGCAGCAGUGGGGAAUAUUGGACAGUGGGCGCAAGCCUGAUCCAGCCAUACCGCGUGGGUGAAGAAGGCCUUCGGGUUGUAAAGCCCUUUUGUUGGGAAAGAAAAGCAGCAGGUUAAUACCCCGCUGUUCUGACGGUACCCAAAGAAUAAGCACCGGCUAACUUCGUG
RNAcentral lists this ribosomal RNA (492 nucleotides) under uncultured bacterium. RNAcentral's name for it is "partial 16S ribosomal RNA". It matches the Rfam family "Bacterial small subunit ribosomal RNA", at positions 29 to 507 of the family's 1533-position model. The record is from RNAcentral.